UGGGGAAUAUUGGACAAUGGGCGAAAGCCUGAUCCAGCCAUGCCGCGUGUGUGAAGAAGGUCUUCGGAUUGUAAAGCACUUUAAGUUGGGAGGAAGGGCAGUAAGCGAAUACCUUGCUGUUUUGACGUUACCGACAGAAUAAGCACCGGCUAACUCUGUGCCAGCAGCCGCGGUAAUACAGAGGGUGCAAGCGUUAAUCGGAAUUACUGGGCGUAAAGCGCGCGUAGGUGGUUCGUUAAGUUGAAUGUGAAAGCCCCGGGCUCAACCUGAGAACAGCCUCCGAAACUGGCGAGCUAGAGUAGGGCAGAGGGUGGUGGAAUUUCCUGUGUAGCGGUGAAAUGCGUAGAUAUAGGAAGGAACACCAGUGGCGAAGGCGACCACCUGGGCUCAUACUGACACUGAGGUGCGAAAGCGUGGGGAGCAAACAGG
Molecule: ribosomal RNA, 429 nt
Filed under: Pseudomonadota bacterium
Lineage: Bacteria; Pseudomonadati; Pseudomonadota
Description: Proteobacteria bacterium partial 16S ribosomal RNA
Rfam family: Bacterial small subunit ribosomal RNA
Source: RNAcentral